UGCGUAGGCUGCGCGGAAAGUUGGGUGUGAAAGCCCUCAGCUCAACUGAGGAAUUGCAUCCAAAACUACCGUGCUCGAGGGAGACAGAGGUGAGCGGAACUCAAGGUGGAGCGGUGAAAUGCGUUGAUAUCUUGAGGAACACCGGUGGCGAAAGCGGCUCACUGGGUCUCUUCUGACGCUGAGGCACGAAAGCUAAGGUAGCAAACAGGAUUAGAUACCCUGGUAGUCC
RNAcentral lists this ribosomal RNA (229 nucleotides) under uncultured bacterium. Its description in RNAcentral is "partial 16S ribosomal RNA". It matches the Rfam family "Bacterial small subunit ribosomal RNA", at positions 568 to 796 of the family's 1533-position model. The record is from RNAcentral.